GGACCUGUGGUCUAGUAGCUACGGUAAAACGCUGCAAAUGACGUCCGCCUGACUCGCGGGAGAUCCCCGGUGCAAAUCCGGGCAGGUCCA
RNAcentral lists this transfer RNA (90 nucleotides) under archaeon. RNAcentral's name for it is "tRNA-Val". It matches the Rfam family "tRNA". Rfam says of the family: Transfer RNA (tRNA) molecules are approximately 80 nucleotides in length. The record is from RNAcentral.